This 343-nucleotide ribosomal RNA is filed under the name uncultured Pseudomonadota bacterium. RNAcentral's name for it is "bacterial SSU rRNA". It matches the Rfam family "Bacterial small subunit ribosomal RNA", at positions 29 to 351 of the family's 1533-position model. Lineage: Bacteria; Pseudomonadati; Pseudomonadota. The record is from RNAcentral.
AAUGAACGCUGGCGGCGUGCUUAACACAUGCAAGUCGCACGAGAACUCUUCUGCUUGCAGAAGAUAGUAAAGUGGCGCACGGGUGAGUAACGCGUGGGUAAUCUACCUUCAAAUUGGGGACAACAUUGCGAAAGCGAUGCUAAUACCGGAUGAUAUCCAGUGAACUUUGGUUUAUUGGAUCAAAGGUGGCCUCUAUAUAUAAGCUACCGUUUGAAGAUGAGCCCGCGUACCAUUAGCUAGUUGGUAGGGUAAAGGCCUACCAAGGCGACGAUGGUUAGCUGGUCUGAGAGGAUGAUCAGCCACACUGGAACUGACACACGGUCCAGACUCCUACGGGAGGCAG